RNAcentral lists this long non-coding RNA (3197 nucleotides) under Nicotiana tabacum (common tobacco). Its description in RNAcentral is "long non-coding RNA (NTAB_LNC000373)". Lineage: Eukaryota; Viridiplantae; Streptophyta; Magnoliopsida; Solanales; Solanaceae. The record is from RNAcentral.
CUUUUUGUAUAUGCAUUCAAAUAUAAAUAUUUUCCCCAAUAAUUCCAAAACUCUACAUAUCACCUAUUUUAAUUAACUUUCAACAUAGAGGGUCAAAAAUAAAAAAAAAUAAAAAAAGUAACGGUUAAUAGAUAUGAGAAUUAUAGAUUCAAAUAUAAGUUAGCUCUAUCUAUUAAAGCUUAGAUAUACGAAAAGAGUCAAAUAUCGGUACACCACAAUUUUCUUUUAAUCUGAGAAGCUCAGAUCCUUCAGUGAAAUUCUCAAGAACUCGAAAGGCACCAUGUAUUCAACUUAUAAUUUCCCUUUCUUUUUUCUUCUCUAGAGAAGAUCGAGUCUGGCAACAAAAUUACACACAUGUAAGAUAUUUGCAAGCUCUAUUUAUAAAAGUAAUUUAUCUUUAAGGUCUCGAAGGAUUCAGGAAAAUUUUAAGCAAGAUAAAUAGAAAGAGAUUCAACAUGUAUUAUGUUUUAUCAAUUCUUUCUCUUCCGUCCUUUCUCAAUUGGUGAAAAUAUAGUAAGAUUAUAAAGUAUACACAAAGAUAUAUCUUCUAAUUUACCAUCCAAAAUACAGAAAGAUAGGAAGGCUAAAAGAUAUUUGAAAAUUUUAAAUAUUAAAGUAAGGAAGCUUGUAUAUAACAAUGGAAACUUGCCUAAAAACAAAUUCGCGUUCUUGUUUCUUAUGUCACUAUCUAGUUUUCUGCAAUUAACAAAAGGCCAUAAAGAAUAACAUCCGCAAUCAGUUGAUAGUAAAAGAAUGCAGUCAGUUCUUUGAUAAACAUUUCAAUAAAAUGUGGUGUGAAGUAUAUUGCACACAAAGACAUGAUGUUUAUUCAUUUUGUUUCCCAUUAAAGAUUGGGAUUAGUAUCUACAAUACCAUACAUGAUAGUACGAAAAUGUAUAGCCAUGACAAAACAGAUAGUACUACAUGGGCUUCAUUCUAAGUCCUCCUUUUUGUGUCCCUCUUUUUUUUUCCAAAUUUUGCAAGCACCAUAGGGAAAAAAUACAUUUUACCCAUUGGUGAACAUUGUCCAUAAGCGAUCAACUGGAAAAAAGUCAUAAUAAAUAGGGAACAGGAACUGAAUUAAAGAAGCCAAUAUCUAAUUUGAUUAGUCAAAAGAUAAUCAUAUAUCCAAGAUACUUAGUACCACGAUUACCUAAUAAUUGCAAAUCCACUAUCCGUCAACAUUCCCGAAAGCUGGCUUUUCAUAAGCCACAAGUAACAACAUUGCCUCAAACCCAACUGAAGUAAACAUAGUGCAUUAAAAAUAAUCAGGAAACUUCUGAGGAAGCAUCUCACUUUUCCAAGAGAAAGAAAUAAAAAUGUAUAAGGCUCUAUUUCAUGGUCAUCGACAAAAAAUUAUGUUAUCAGUAACAUAUUAAUUCUUCAUCUCCUUGGUUUCUUUUAAAACCUUAAGUUACCAGUUAACAUGAUAACAAAGUAUAUCGAAGAUAUGGAAGCCAACUUCUACUAACUUGCUCAACAUAAGCUAAGAGAAGGUGAUGUAACAGAACAGAUUGUGCCCUUUGCAGAUGAGCAUAUUUCAAGAACUAUGAGUUAUUCGUUCUUCAUAGCUAGUCUAACCAAUGCCGUAUACAGGUCAUAUGGCAACAAACAUGUAUGCAUAGUAACUUUUGAGGUCUGAAUACCUUGUAAAUUGAACAUGUUGCGCAAUAUCGCCUAUUUUCCCGAGGAAAAAUGGCCUCAAAAUUACCUGAUCUUUCACUACUUACAUUGCUUUACAUAUCCUCACUUUGUUCUUUUUUUGCAUCCAAAAAAACUGCAACAAUGGUUAAAUUUCAUUGUCCUAAAACUAUAAGAUGAAAUCGAGAAGAAUAAAAAGGAAAUUAUACAUUAUUCAGUGAGGUCCAAAUCGCAACAUUCUGAUGUACCUUUGCCAGUAACAGAGAUUGACCCAUUGUAAGGUUUUAACAUAGUCAGUUUAAGACCUUGAAAUUAAAAAGAAAUCCAAGCAAUUCAGUUUUCUUGAACAUUGUCUGCACUGGAACAUGAAGAUAAAGUUAUAAGAUAUAAGAAUCAAUCGACUUUUGACAUUCAAACUUAACUUGGACUAUGUAAAGACUCCAUUAAAUAGGGUACGGGAAAAUGCCAAAUUAUUUGGAGUUGUAUUUAAACACUCUUGGAAACUAUAGAAAAAAUGCAGAAAAAGAAAUUCUACUUUCGAAGGCCUUGUUCAUGUUUGAAGAAGAAGAAAGCUAUUGUUUUAAAGAAGAAUAACCAUUGUACAAACCCUUUCACAUUCUUAACUAUAUUGUUGACUCUUCUUUCACAUCCAUCACAGUCCAUUUACACAUUUGUUUAAACCUUCUACCAAGAAAAACGAAGAAGAAUUCUCGAAUAGUACAAAAAUUAUAAAUAAAUUGAGAAUAAGCAAAGAGGAAAAAAGCGGAAAGAAAGAUAGAAUAGUAAAAAGCAGAAAUUUAUUGCAUCAUAUGCAUGUACAUAGAAAUUCCAAAGAUUUCAAUAAUAGCUUCAAUUAUCCCUAAAAUCAGCACAGAUCCAUAUUUACUUAAUCCCAAAUCUUCAUUUCCAGUUUUCAGCGCAAAGUGUAAACUUUGAUGCUAACCAAGAUUAGGUAUUAAGUAUACAAAGAAAAACGAAGAAGAAUUCUCGAAUAGUACAAAAAUUAUAAAUAAAUUGAGAAUAAGCAAAGAGGAAAAAGCGGAAAGAAAGAUAGAAUAGUAAAAAGCAGAAAUUUAUUGCAUCAUAUGCAUGUACAUAGAAAUUCCAAAGAUUUCAAUAAUAGCUUCAAUUAUCCCUAAAAUCAGCACAGAUCCAUAUUUACUUAAUCCCAAAUCUUCAUUUCCAGUUUUCAGCGCAAAGUGUAAACUUUGAUGCUAACCAAGAUUAGGUAUUAAGUAUUAAGUAUUAAGUAUACAAAGAAUAUGGAGAAAGAAGGCUACAGGGGUCAAAAACUUACAGUUAGAUUAGGAGUAGGGGAGAAAAGAAUUUUCUAUAAACGGAGAGAAAUAUCCUCUCACCGGUUUCAAUCGAGAUAGAGAGAGUCGGGGAAGAGACGGUUCUUUUAAUUCUAAUAGUGAUUUUGCCUUUCAAUAGUGACUGUUGGAUGCAGUAAAAGAUAAACCGUUUUCUAGUGUUUAGGAAAUUAAAAAAAGGAGAUAAUAGAUAAAUAGAAUUGUUGUUUACAUAAGGCGCCACAUCAUCCUCCUCAUGUCCCU